RNAcentral lists this ribosomal RNA (425 nucleotides) under uncultured Acetivibrio sp. Its description in RNAcentral is "bacterial SSU rRNA". It matches the Rfam family "Bacterial small subunit ribosomal RNA", at positions 355 to 794 of the family's 1533-position model. The record is from RNAcentral. Lineage: Bacteria; Bacillati; Bacillota; Clostridia; Acetivibrionales; Acetivibrionaceae.
UGGGGGAUAUUGCGCAAUGGGGGAAACCCUGACGCAGCAACGCCGCGUGAAGGAAGAAGGUUUUCGGAUCGUAAACUUCUGUUCUUAGGGAAGAAGACAGUGACGGUACCUAAGGAGCAAGCCACGGCUAACUACGUGCCAGCAGCCGCGGUAAUACGUAGGUGGCAAGCGUUGUCCGGAUUUACUGGGUGUAAAGGGCGCGUAGGCGGGUAUAUAAGUCAGUCGUGAAAUACCGAGGCUCAACUUCGGGGCUGCGAUUGAAACUGUAUAUCUUGAGUAUCGGAGAGGAAAGCGGAAUUCCUAGUGUAGCGGUGAAAUGCGUAGAUAUUAGGAGGAACACCAGUGGCGAAGGCGGCUUUCUGGACGACAACUGACGCUGAGGCGCGAAAGUGUGGGGAGCAAACAGGAUUAGAUACCCUGGUAGU